This 119-nucleotide ribosomal RNA is filed under the name Melitaea cinxia (Glanville fritillary). Lineage: Eukaryota; Metazoa; Arthropoda; Insecta; Lepidoptera; Nymphalidae. The record is from RNAcentral.
GCCAACUUCCAUACCACGUUGAAUACACCGGUUCUCGUCCGAUCACCGAAGUUAAGCAACGUCGGGCGCGGUCAGUACUUGGAUGGGUGACCGCCUGGGAACACCGCGUGACGUUGGCU